RNAcentral lists this ribosomal RNA (208 nucleotides) under uncultured bacterium. RNAcentral describes it as "partial 16S ribosomal RNA". It matches the Rfam family "Bacterial small subunit ribosomal RNA", at positions 568 to 774 of the family's 1533-position model. The record is from RNAcentral.
CGUGCAGGCGGUUUCGUAAGUUGCGCGUGAAAGCGCCCAGGCUCAACCGGGCGAGGACGCGCAAAACUGCGGAACUGGAGGCAGGCAGAGGCGUGUGGAAUUCCGGGUGUAGUGGUGAAAUGCGUAGAUAUCCGGAGGAACACCAGUGGCGAAGGCGACACGCUGGGCCUGAACUGACGCUCAGACGCGAAAGCAUGGGGAGCGAACG